CGUGUAGGCGGUGCGGUAAGUUGGGCGUGAAAUCCCCGGGCUUAACCCGGGGGGGUCGUUCAAGACUGCCGUGCUAGGGUGCGGGAGAGGGCAGUGGAGUUCCCGGUGUAGCGGUGAAAUGCGUAGAUAUCGGGAGGAACACCUGCGGCGAAGGCGGCUGCCUGGACCGUAACCGACGCUGAGGCGCGAAAGCUAGGGGAGCAAACAGGAUUAGAUACCCUGGUAGUCCUAGCCCUAAACGAUGAGCACUGGGUGUAGCCCCUCACGGGGCUGUGCCGAAGCUAACGCAUUAAGUGCUCCGCCUGGGGAGUACGGUCGCAAGGCUGAA
RNAcentral lists this ribosomal RNA (328 nucleotides) under uncultured bacterium. Its description in RNAcentral is "bacterial SSU rRNA". It matches the Rfam family "Bacterial small subunit ribosomal RNA", at positions 568 to 898 of the family's 1533-position model. The record is from RNAcentral.